GAUGGGGGCAAAUAAGCAAGGGGCCUUGCUUGUCCUUGCAGUAUUUUUGGGAAUGAUCCUUGCUGACUUGGCUUUCCUUUUUGGUUUCUUCUCUUGGAGUACCCCAACUAUAGAGGAAUGAUGAUGUAGGGUUGGGGUUAUAGAAUUUGGAAUUUUUGUUUUUGUGUGUUACCGGUGAUGUUAGUACGAGAAUGCUGUAUUAUUAUGGGUAUAAUCUGUGUUACUAAUGAAUAAAGAGGCCUGGAGCUGUACUGUAUUGAACUCAAAACAUUUCUGUCGGUGGUGGGUGCUGGAAUUGACCUGCAGGUGCUGUGCUGAUCCUAUGCAUCUGCUGCAGCAUUUGACGGUUGCGAGCUGGCAAACUAGGGUCUUCGGUGCCAUGUUAAAAUGAAACUGACUGUGGAGUUAAACAUGAGUGGUAGUUCGGAGCAUGGAAAAAAAGAGAGAAAGAAAGCCGAGUGACAGCACAACCUGAGCCGACAGCGAUAUGCGCUUAAGAUUCCUAGUCCGAAGCCCAGUAAGCGACUCCGACCCGAGCAACAACCAGAACAGCAGGAAGGAGGAGUGGAGUUGCCAUCAGCGAUGACUCUGGCUGGAGCGCCAAUCACGGCCUCACACGACGACACAAAUCACAUGAGACUACCAUAGUAUGCGAGAGAGAGGGGAAGAAGGGAAGAAAUGGUCGCAGGUGGGGGAGUCAACAGGGCCAGGCGUCGGCGCGCCAGUGCUUUGCUUGCCGCGCCCACCAACUCACGCCUCCCUCUCCUCUCCUCUCCUCUCCUCUCCCGUCCCCUGCAAUUUCUUACUCCUUUCCCCCUCCCCUCAUCGCCAUCUCUGAUCUGCUUCGAGGAGGAGGCCUUGCUCUGACUCCUCCGACCACUGCCGCAGCGACUCCUGCCUGCGGCUAAGCCUCCCAGAUCCAACCCACUGCGCCCGACGCGCAAACCUACCUCCCCGCCCGCAGAUCUGCCGCCCGCCAUGGACUCCGGCGCCGGGGGCGGCGGGGUCACGGCCAUCCGCGUGCCCUACCGCCACCUCCGCGACGCCGAGAUGGAGCUCGUCAGCCUCAACGGAACCCCGCGUGCCGGGGACGCACCGCCCAAGGACCCGGAACACCGGAACGGCGACGCGGCACGCCACGAGGGGAGCCGCGGCAGCUCCAGGACCAAGCUCGUGCUCGCCUGCAUGGUCGCCGCCGGCGUGCAGUUCGGCUGGGCGCUGCAGCUCUCCCUCCUCACCCCCUACAUCCAGGUAAACCACCCCCUCUUCCGCUUCGCUCCUUGCUCCAUCGCUCUAGAUCCCUCUCUCUCUCUCUCUGGCUUACCAUUUGGAGUUGGAGAGCAUUUUCGAGUUGUGAAUUGUGAUCCCCCUCUCGUAGGCUGGUGGGUUGUUCGGGCUUUGCAUUUCAUAGGAUACAAAUAGCAGCGCCGCCGAUGGCUUGGCUUGUACCCCUUUCUGUUUUCGAUGACGCAUUUCUGUUCGUACCAGUCACGGAUUGGAGCUACUCGUUCUACGUACUCUUGUCUAUAAAUGUUCGACAAAUGCAGUUACUUUCGGAUACUUCCGUCUGUUGCCAGUAGUAGUAGCAGAUUGAAUUCUCUAGCCCUGGAUGACCAUCUGGCUUGGAGCUUCAUCACUAAGCUAAUAUCAGAUCACGGCCACUGCCACAUCUCUAGAACCCAGACUAGUAGCAGACGAAAAAGCUACCUGGUUUUAAUACCAGCAUCACAUUGGUAAUAUUGAUGUCACAUAAAAAUGCUGGAGUAGUUAUUAAAGCUGUGACAACCACCUGGGUCGUGGCCUGUUUAUGUUUUUCUGACCCCACAUCUAAUUUUGGCUGUGUACUCACAUGCUGCUCAUUUCUCAUUUUUGUGCAGACCCUAGGAAUAGAUCAUGCCAUGGCGUCAUUUAUUUGGCUCUGUGGACCUAUAACCGGUUUUGUGGUAAGUCACCUUAGAGAGAAUACUGUCCUUUUUUGUUCUGAGUCAGGAUACUAAGCUUUACCUUAUAUCUCCGAAUGAUGAUGAGGUGCCUUUCCAGGUUCAACCAUGUGUCGGUGUGUGGAGUGACAAAUGCCGUUCAAAGUAUGGGAGGAGACGACCAUUUAUAUUGGCUGGAUGCCUAAUGAUAUGUGCUGCUGUGAGUUAGAUGAAGUUUCAUAGGUCAUUAUAUCGCCCAUACUCCUCAUGCUCUAAUACAUAGACUUCAUACAUAGGUAACUUUAGUCGGAUUUUCUGCAGACCUUGGUUACAUCUUAGGAGAUACCACUGAGCACUGCAGGUAAUAAUCAAGAUUCUUCCUUUUUGCUAUUUUAUUUACAUCAAGGUUGUUGUCACUGAAAUGCUGACAAUUAUGCUGUUCAGUACAUAUAAAGGUUCAAGGUUUCGAGCUGCUAUUGUUUUCAUACUUGGAUUCUGGAUGUUGGACCUUGCAAAUAAUACGGUGCAGGUAAGCUUAUUCCAAUUUUGCAUGUGAACUGAUGACAUGUCUCCACCAUAUCUUUUUCAACUUUGGUGCUGAAGUUUUAUUGUAACAUUGCAUUACUUUUUAAUGGACGUUCUCCUAACAUUUUGUUCCUCUCUGAUAUGUUUAGGGCCCCGCUCGUGCCCUCCUAGCUGAUCUUUCAGGUGGUUUCUACCUUAAAUUUAAAAUGUUUGUUAAUGCUAGAUUCACCCUUAGUUGUCAAUUAUUGAAUGAUCCUUUCUCUUCUGCAGGUCCUGAUCAGUGUAAUUCUGCAAAUGCAAUAUUCUGUUCAUGGAUGGCUGUUGGAAAUAUUCUUGGCUUUUCAGCUGGUGCGAGUGGGAAUUGGCACAGGUAUGUCUUUUAUGUGUGCUCUUCUGUGCUUGCUUAAACAUGAUUAUGGUUCAGCAGUUGGUAUUUGGUCCUCUUAAUCAGCGCUUCUUGCUCCAUCAAGUUUACAUUGAUUUUUCCCCAAAUUCUCCCUAGUCAACAAAAGCUACUGUUCUGUAUGAAUAUUGAAUUUGCCUGCUUUUGUUAUUUUUGCAGAUGGUUUCCUUUUCUAACAACAAGAGCCUGCUGCGAAGCUUGUGGUAAUUUGAAAGCGGCUUUCUUAAUUGCAGUUGUAAGUUUUCAGUAAUUCUGUAACUGUGCUACUGCCCCUUGGAGUUUGGAGCUAGGAUUUUUUAUGCAUUGUAGAGCUAGCAGAAUCCUUCUUAGGUGUUGCCUUUGAUCCUUUUGAGGACUGUUUACUCUGUAUGCAAAAGCUGAGCAAGCUAUAUUUUCCAGGUAUUUCUUUUGUUCUGCAUGUCUGUUACCCUGUACUUCGCUGAAGAGAUCCCACUAGAACCAAAGGAUGCACAAGGACUAUCUGAUUCUGCUCCUCUACUGAAUGGGUCUAGAGAUGAUGGCCAUACAUUGAAUGAACAAAAUAAUGAAAGACUUCCUAACGGCCAUGUGGAUAGAAACAAUGUCUCAGCCAACUCCAACACCGAGGAAUUUACGGAUGUGAAUUCCAACUUGAACAGGGACAAUGGAGAAGUUUUCAAUGAUGGACCAGGAGCAGUUUUGGUCAACAUUUUGACCAGCAUGAGGCAUCUACCUCCAGGAAUGCAUUCAGUGCUUGUAGUUAUGGCUUUAACAUGGGUAUGCUGUCCAAUUAUACAUAGAUUCAUACCGACCACCUGCUGAGGUCUCUUUUCUAUCUUCAAGAUUGAUGAUGUUACCCUUGCUUUAUUUGCCUUGCAGUUGUCAUGGUUUCCCUUUUUCCUUUUUGACACCGACUGGAUGGGGCGUGAAGUUUACCAUGGGGAUCCAAAUGGAGACUUGAGUGAGAGGAAAGCUUAUGAAAAUGGUGUCCGAGAAGGUGCAUUUGGUUUGCUAUUGAAUUCUGUAAGAACUCGUGAUCAAUUUUGUUUACUAUAAAUUGUAUGUUUAUAUACAUUGCUAGCGAUUCUUGGUGUUUGUAUGCCUCGAGUUCAUAGCUGUAAUAUUUGCUUCAAUUGUAUAGGUUGUCCUUGGUAUUGGUUCCUUCCUUGUUGAUCCAUUAUGUCGGAUGUUUGGUGCAAGAUUGGUUUGGGCAAUCAGCAACUUCACAGUGUUCAUCUGCAUGAUGGCUACGACGAUACUAAGUUGGAUCUCUUCUGAUCUAUACUCGAGUAAACUGCAUCACAUCAUUGGAGCAAAUAAAACAGUCAAGAUUGCUGCAUUGGUUGUUUUCUCUAUUCUUGGAUUACCACUCUCCGUGAGUACCAGAACCGGACUUUAGCAUAUUUUUCUGCCUUAAUUGUGUCGGAAGCUGUCUUAUACUUUGCUCUUAAGCAUUACAGAUCACUUACAGUGUUCCAUUUUCUGUAACCGCCGAGCUGACUGCCGGGACAGGAGGUGGACAAGGUUUGUGUUGUAGAUUUUAUGUAUUAUAAUUUAUAAAUAUAUGCUUGCGUCAUUGUGUGAUUCUAGGUGACUGACAAGGUUUGUGCCAUCUCCAGGUUUGGCUACAGGAGUCCUAAAUCUUGCUAUUGUCGUUCCCCAGGUUAGACAUUCUGUCUGAACGUUCUCUUUCAGGAUGCAUUGUUACUGAAGAUAUCCCAACACCAAUGAUCUCAUUCUGUUUGCAGAUAGUAGUGUCACUCGGAGCAGGUCCAUGGGAUGCUCUCUAUGGGGGAGGAAACAUCCCUGCAUUCGCCUUGGCUUCGAUCUUCUCCCUGGCAGCUGGUGUGCUCGCAGUUCUCAAGCUACCGAAGCUGUCAAACUCGUAUCAGUCUGCCGGUUUCCAUGGAUUUGGUUGAUGCCCUCAAAGCUUUCUGCCGUGUAACAUUCAGAUACGGACCAACACUGAGCCCGGUUUUGCCAUUCGUUUUACAGUGAAAUGAUUCUUUUUCCUGCUACCACUACAGAAUAAUAUUCAAAGUAGACACUAGGAUAGAGAGGCUAGUUAGGUUCAUGUGCAUACGAAGCCAAUGCAAAGGUGUAUCUACUUUUUUGACAGUGUAUGUAAGAGCUGCCCGCACAUAUGGCGGAUAAUUUUACAAGUGAUGUAACACGUUCUGGCCCUAACCUGUGCUCGUUUGUAGCUGUACAACAAGCAUGUUCCCUUAUUUUGUAAAGGAAAGCUGUAUGCCAAGCAGAAUAGCAGAUGUUCUUUGCGCCUUUUCCCAGUUCAUUCGGAGGACACAGAGCUUUGACAUCAAAAUAGUGGUGUCAUUUUGAACAAACUUGAAUACCUUCACUAGGAUAAGAUUUUUGAACAAACUGACCUGAUAAUAUCCAUCUAGCCAGAGUUGCAGCAUGGAAGGAAAACCCAAGACAAUUUGGGCCUGAAAAACCCAAACGGCCCAACUCGAAAUGGAGAAGGCCUGGCUAGAAGCUCCUCAGCCUUCUUCCUGCGUCCUGGCCGCACCGUAAUCCUCUUCGUUCCUACCACCACCGCCGACCGCCAUGGCCGCCGCUGAGGUGGAUCCCGCCCCCAACCCUACCUCCGACCACCCCAACGGAUCCUCCGCGCAGGACCGGAAGAAGUCCCGCGAGAGCGACCGCCGCCGCCGACGCCGCAAGCAGAAGAAGAACAAGGCAGCGUCUAACGCAGCAGAUGCGGAGACCGACGAGGAGGCUGCGCCGGACAGCGCCAAGGAUAACGCCGAUCCGAAACCCCAGGUACGAUGCGCUUCGUAGCAGCAUGGAGCCGUAGGGUUUAGGUUGCAGAUGGUUUUGGCCUGACCUAACCACCUGGUGUUUGGUUUCGCCACAGGUUGAGGUGGAGGUGGAGUACGUGCCAGAGAAGGCCGAGCUUGACGACGCUCUCCUCGCCGACUUCAAGGACAUCUUCGACAAGUUCACCUUCAAGGACUCUCCUGCUGACACCGAGGUAUCACCGUGUCCAGCACUCACCAUUUUUACUAACUCCAAGUAAAGGGAUUGGAGACAGCUGCCUGCACUGGAUUUAGUACUCUCGCUGCUCUGGUGUGAUUUGAUUGUUGGUUUCCUGUUUUGCUGAUAGGACGGUGAGAAGAAGGAUGAGGCUGGCACUGAUGCAGCGAAGAAGGGGGAUGAGUCUGACUCGGACGACGAUGCUCAGGAGGCCCAGCAAAAGAAGGAUGGGGGUGUAUCCAACAAGCAGAAGAAAGUUUGUUCAUCCAAUCACUGCCUGUUUAUUGAUGACAUCUUACGAGGGAUUAUUUUAUGUAUUUAUUACCUUAAAAAAAAAUUUGGUUUGUGCUUUUCCAGCUGCAGCGGAGGAUGAAAAUUGCAGAGUUGAAACAGAUAUGUGCCAGGCCAGACGUGGUUGAGGUAAGGUGUCUCGUAUUAUAGUUAUCUAUUCAUCUGGGAAGUUUAAUGUCUAUACUUGAUUGAAUUUGAUUCCUCUGCUUCCUCCAGUAUUUGUCCAUCUAGCGUUUCAUUGUGCCAAAACCUGCCUUGAAUCCAGAGACGUGUCCAAUGAUGUACUAUUACCUUCCAUCGUUAGAUGAUUCAGUCCAACUAAAACUGCUAAUGAAAAAUUCUUUCCAAUUUCUGGCAUGCAAUUUUAUCCACAUUUUUGUUCUUUGUCCCUAGUAUUGCAUGCUAAGUUUGUGUGGCACAUUAUAAAAACCUUUCUGUUUUACUUGUUUAAUAAUAUGUUGCUACAACCCAUCUUGCACUGUUGUGGUUUGGGUACAUUGCUAGACACGUUUGUUGGCAUUUUAUUUUCACUCUUAAAAAAAAGCUACGAUGGCAUGCACUGAUUCGCACACACCUCUGCAGGCCAAGGUUGCAAUAUUAAACUGAAGAGCACGUUAAACAAUUUUGUGCAUUUAUUCUAACUCUUUAUGUUAUGACUGUAAGAUUGUUUAUGGAUGGGUGUCGUUUGAUACAACUGUGCUCGUGUUGCUAGGUAUGGGAUGCGACUGCAUCAGAUCCCAAGUUACUUGUCUAUCUGAAGUCCUACAGGAACACAGUACCCGUCCCAAGGCACUGGUGUCAGAAGAGGAAAUUCCUGCAGGUUUGUGGUUUAUCUGCCCUGAAUAUGGAUCAUGUUAUUGUAACAUCCCUGGUUUUGGUUAGUCUCUUAAAAGCCUAAUUAGAGUGUUUAAGGGUUUGAACUUAGCACUUAGAUUUCAAAUCUUGUCCUUGAUUAAGUGCAAACUCACUCAAGCACAGCAAACCUCGCAAUUAAAGGCCAAAUUGAACCAAACCAAGUCAAUACAAAGGCUAAAUAUGAAAAAUACCCAAACCAGGUUUGAAUGGUAGCAAACAUCUCAAAAACCCCAAAAGACCAAAUUGAAUUGGAAGUUCAAACACUUAAUUUGGUGAAAAUGCAUUAAAAAGGCUUAAAUUGGGGGCAGUUAAUAAAUUCAAAUUUUAUAUAACAACUUCACCUUUUGCCAAUACAAAAGUUGUAGAACUUUUCAAAAUAAGCAACUUUGCUUAUUUGAACCUUUGCUAGUUUUGAGUGGAACUCGCCUUCGUGUGAGUAUGCUUAACUUCGAUCCUGAACGAGUGGUUUAUCGGGUGAAACCCGAUGGACUACCACUUUAACUUGAUUAAAGUGUCUGCCUGCAUGUGAGGCGGUGUUAAGUACACUUUAACCAGGUUAAUUUUGGUGGUUCCGCCACAGUUAUGUUGCUCAAUUAAUUUAUAGCUGUGCUUCUGUGCUCCUUCAAAAAGUGACUUUGCAAACUAAAUAAAGCAGCACAGUUUAGUAUCUAAAUAGAAGUACUUGCAGAUCGAGCUUAUCUUUCUGCUCGAAUAUUCAGUUGGAAAAGUGGAGAAGUAUAUCAGUUAAUUAAUACUAGCUAAUAAAUAUGCCAUCCUUCUCUGAAUUAGUUACAGAAUGAUUGGGAGUGGAAGGGGUGGGAGAACAUAAUGUCAAUAAGGUUUCACCCCUCUUAUACAGAUAUUGAGAUAUGUAAAUUCUUUGCAGGGAUGAUGUAACAACCUUGGAGCAAGAGCUUGGUGAUACUGUACUUGAGUGGUUUCUAUAGUAUGGAUUUUAGUGUGUUUAAUCUAGUUAAUUUAGGUGAGGCAUCGCUGAGAUUAUGGGUUUUGCUAGGAUCUAUGGCCUUUGACAUUCCUUUGUAACUUGUGCGCACAAGCCUGACUCAAGUCAUUGCAGAUAUUGUUCUUUCCUUUUUAGUAUAUGGUUUUGAAUUCUAUGUUGAACUGAGCAGUGCCAUAACAUUUAUGUUUUCUGAGUUCAUUUUUCACAUUUCAGAUUUUACGUCAUCAUGUUAUUUCUUUCAGGGGAAGAGAGGUAUUGAGAAACAACCUUUCCAACUCCCUGACUUCAUUGCAGCUACUGGAAUAGAAAAAAUAAGACAGGUAAAUUAAGAUCUUGACUUCUAGUACUUUAUUGUGACACAUGGUAGAGGAGUUAUGAGUUGUUUGAAUUUUUCUUUUCAAUUUUACAAACAUAGGUGUCUCAUUACUGUUUCAGGCAUAUAUCGAGAAGGAGGACAGCAAAAAACUAAAGCAGAAGCAGCGAGAGCGUAUGCAGCCCAAAAUGGGAAAGAUGGAUAUAGAUUAUCAGGUCAGUUUGUUCAAAAUUUUAUCCUAGUGAAGGUAUUCAAAUUUGUCCUAGAAGGCAACAUACAAUUUAAGUUUUUCAUAUCACUAUUCUUAUAAAAUUGCCGUCCCCUGCUUCUCUCUGAGAGAGUGUAUUCUAUAGCAUAGAAAGUGUUUUAUUGACUUAAUUUGUCUUGCAAACUUAAUAUCUGUGCAUCUUUUUAGUUACUCCACUUGCUUGCUGUCUCUAAUAGGAUAUUAAUUGUGAUAGCAGCGUUGAUAAUUGAUAUGUAGUUGUAUGGAUAUAAUUGGAUGUAUUUGCCUCAUAUAUUUGGUUUUAUUAUUUAUCUCGUACAUUCAAUUUUCUUGAUUUUACUGUGUCUUGCUUAAAACCUGUUUGUACUUUGGCUCGUUAUUCCAACAUUUAGGCUACUAAAAGUGAUAUUGAAGCAUACUGAUAUGGUAGGGUGUAUUUGUCACAUAUGUUCAGGCUCAGUUCCAACCUUUUAACUCCUGGCAUGAUUUGUUGCGGGCAGGUUUUACAUGACGCUUUCUUCAAAUAUCAAACGAAGCCAAAAUUGACUAGUCAUGGUGACCUGUAUUAUGAAGGAAAGGAGUUUGAGGUAGUUAACAGUUUCUAUUUUGGAAAUGAGAUUCUUUGUAAUUGUUCAUGAGGCCCAGGUGCUCUUCACAUAUGGCUCACUGGGCACAAUGCUAACGUGUGUGCAUAACACAUGGCAGGUCAAACUUAGGGAAAUGAAGCCCGGUGUUCUAUCCCGAGAACUUAAAGAAGCUCUUGGUAUGCCUGAUGGUGCGCCACCUCCAUGGCUUAUAAACAUGCAGGUAAAAGGAAUUUUCAUGCAGCUAGUCCUCUGGUUGAUAAAUCCCUUUGUUAGCAUAUUGACAUCAUAUAAUUUUUGCAGAGAUAUGGCCCACCACCUUCCUAUCCUCAGCUGAAGAUUCCUGGCCUCAAUGCUCCAAUUCCUCCUGGUGCAAGUUUUGGAUAUCGACCUGGAGAAUGGGGAAAACCUCCUGUUGAUGAGGUAUGCUAAUUGCCAAUUUUUCCCCUCCCGGCUCUGAUUUAGUAAAAAUAUUUUCCUCAGUGAACUUAACAUAUUCUCAUGUUAUCUAAUCUAUGGCAGCAUGGGCGCCCCUUGUACGGAGAUGUUUUUGGAGUCCUACAGCAGGAUGAACCGAAUUAUGAUGUAUGUUUAAUUGGCACAGUUUCUUCCUUGAGCCGAAUCUCUAGGAUUUAUGUGUACGAAUUUCUAGGAUUUUUGUGUACUCUUUCCAUGUUGGCAUAGCUGACUAUUGUGUUGCAUCGUAGGAGGAGCCUGUUGACCGUAGCAAGCACUGGGGAGACUUAGAGGAGGAAGAGGAGGAGGAGGAAGAGGAGGAAGAGGAAGAGGAAGAGCCGAUGGAAGACGAAGACAUGGAAGAGGGCAUGCAAUCUGUUGACACCAUUUCAAGGUGCUCGCAUAUUACUUUCUUUGAUUGAUUUAGUUAGUUUUCUUAGGGAUAUAGAACUAGGCCUUGAUGCUUCAUUUUGAAUAGCACUCCCACUGGCGUGGAAACACCUGAUGUUAUCGAUCUUCGGAAGCUUCAGAGGAAAGAACCCGAAAGACAAACAGAGAAGCAGCUAUACCAGGUGAGGGCAUGCCUGUGUUUUUUUGUAGUGUUUGAGGCUAAUCUAUUCAUGUGAAAGUUUUAGUUUGGUUGUUGCAAUUGAUGACCAACAUUUUUAUUGUUUGUAUCUGAAGGUUCUUGAGCAGAAAGAGGAAAGAAUCGCCCCUGGGACACUGUACGGAUCAAGCCACACGUACGUGACACACUCACUGAUCCUGAGAGAUGCCAGUGACUAGUAUUUUUUGUUGUUUUGUUGUAGCUCUAGCAUGCAUGGGUCUCAUUUUGUAUUUUUGUGGCAUCGCAGGUAUGUGCUCGGGGCACAAGACAAAGCUGCUCCCAAAAGGGUGAGCUCCGUAGUCCCUUGCACACUAUGUUUACAUGUAGUAGUAGCUUGUUUGUCUGUAUGGUCCAGUGAGUCAGGGUGACUGAGGUCUUGCUAUGGUUGUGUUUUGCAGGUUGAUCUUCUCAAAAACCAGAAGUCUGAUAAGGUGGAUGUCACCAUACAACCUGAGGAAUUGGAGGUUAUGGAUGACGUAUUGGCGGCCAAGUAAGAUAUAUGACCUGCAUAAGGGUGUUUGGCACGAUAUCUGUUGAUGCGAGCAUAAGUGCUAACAUAUUUUUUCUGAAUCGCAAAACAGGUAUGAAGAAGCACGAGAGGAGGAGAAGCUGCGGAAUCAGAAGGAAGACUUCAGUGACAUGGUGGCCGAGGUACGCGUUUCUGGCACGGUCCUGGUUUAACAAGAGAAUAAAAAUAUUAGCAAAGAUGUGGAAGCCGAACGAAUGAUGAUCGGGGUGGUUUGGUUUGCACAGAACGCAAGCAAGAGGAAGAGAAAGCAGCAGGAGAAGGAUGGGAAAUCGAAGAAGAAGGAAUUCAAGUUCUAGGGGUGAAGAGCUCGACGUCGGCAGACGUCGCUCGUCGAGACCAUGGCGAGAAGAGAUGCCUGUUUGCCUGCCUUCAUCAUCUAUAGAUGCAAAGAAAAUAAGUUUUUACCGUCCGCGCCUUAGAUGUUUUAGAUGUAUAUGCGUGCGUGCAUGGAUGAAUGCUUGUUUCGCCGGAUGAUGCUGUGUUUGUAUAUACCUGUGCGCUGAAGAGCAUGUUGUCGACUAGAGGAGAGCUAUUUCCGUCUUUGCUGCGGAUUCCAUGUUGGAGUGAUGAGCUCACCUCGCCUGUCCGUGUUGUGGCUGGAAUCCCACUCCUUCCUUCAGGACGGGAUGUGCCAUUUUGGAUUGUUUGCGUGAGUGACUUUAACCCUCCCGGAAGAAAGGCGUUGACAUUGCAUGCGAACGGCUCCUAAAAAUUAAGCAUCUGCUCCUUUUUCUUGCAGGUCUCCAAAUGAAAGCCAACCCUUUUCCAGACAGUUGGUGGCCGGGCUGUAAAUGACCGAAUUGAAAGGAUGCAAAUGCCAGGCAAAGUUCAUCAGCAGGGGGGGCACGUGGCAGGUCCAGAAGCAGGACACGCGGACUCUGACUGACGCGCGCGCGCGCCCUGCUAGCUCUUGCUUGCCCUCAAGCCACUGCAGGUCCAUCGGCAUCGCGCUUCCCUUUUGUUCCUAGCUAUCUGCUCCUCCACUCCUUGCAGUGAGCAAAUAUAUAAUGGUGCACGAAAGAGAAAAGAAAAAAAAGGCAUUUUUAUCUCAUUCAUCCUUUAAUUUUCUUUUCUAUGGUUGAGUAUGAGGGUUGUGGGGUCAGCUUGGUAGGCUCCGGCUCCUCCUCCGGUUGCCACGAGAGACUGGUGGAAGGUGACGUGAAAACUUGAAGUUUGGGAACAGUAUUUUUCAAGUCUGUCUAAAGUUGCUUUCAUCAGAUACAUGCCACCGCCACCCGAGACGGUGUAGAGAGCAGACUUAGUAAAGAACUCGACUACCAAAAACCGCACUCUGCAGUCACAAUUAAACAUGAGUCAAAUUCCAUAUGGAGUAAGCAAGACAGUGAUGUUGCACAGAUUUAAUUAGCUUGUUUAAUAAUUGCAGCAAAUUUGAACGUUCAAGACCACCUAACCAAAAAGAUUUGGACAAUCUAAGAAAGGAUGGAGCUGGCAAUGGCUCACCAAACUUACUCGAUUAGUUUAAAGAAAUGGUAAAAUUUACAUACCUAAGUUAUAGCAACAUUCCUAAAUUUAGAGCUUGAUUAUACUUUCUAACAUUGCAGUGCGACAAGGAUGCUAGCAUAAAUAAUGAACCGCGCCGUUUAUCACAAGGAUAGUGUCGUACCUUUGGUCUAUCCCAUUCCACUUCUUCUUCACGAAACUACAGGCUUCCUCAAACCAGCUUUUCUUCGGCACCAUGGAUGUUGGAAUCCAAACACCAGAUUUGUUCUUAGUGUAUGAGCUGAGAGGCCUUGACUCUACCUGUAUUAUGGAAAUAAAUAUCUGAUUCAUUCUGUUUCAAAUUCCUUACUGCAAAAAAUUCAAACAAAGCAAGAAAUGACAAGAGAUUUGCAAGGACAAAUUGGACUCCUUGGCAGGUACACGACGCCGUGGCUGCACAUAUCAUGGUGCCAAAUUCAAUUGCAUCUGCAGGUGAUGAUCCCCUGCUUGCUACUUUUCCCCAAAUCACAUCUCAGCUGUAUCGGACUGUUUGGUGCUUGUUAAUGGAGAAGUGAUUUGAGAUUGCUAACACACUACCGACCAUCCACGUCCUUCCACCCCUUCCACUUCCACUACCGAGCUUCACCUCAACCUCCUUCCACCCGAAAAAUCACAAGCCCACGUCGGUCGCGCACAGAUCGCCCCACCCUGAAGCCGAGCGGCGCCAACAAUCGGUAUUCCUCCCUUUCCCUUCGGCCUUCGCAUCCCUCUCCCCUUGCGGGUCGCUGCGGCGCCGUUGGGCUGCACGUACGAGCCGCUCGACUCUUGCGGACGGAUUUGCAGGUCUACGCAGGCUUGCGGCGUGGGUCGACCCAGCGGGUUAGCGGCUUGGCCCGCGCCGUUUGCAUCCCUACUUCCACCACCUUCCACUACAACUCGAAAUCACAAAUCCAAAUCGCAGGUGAGCCCGAUCGAAGCGGAAGGCCCUGCAACCUCCUUCCACUAGAACUCGAAAUCACAAAUCGAAAUCGCAGUUGAGCCGAUCGAAGCGGAACGCCCCGGAACCCAAAAAUCUAGCCGACCCCGGAACCCAAAACCCUAGCCGAUCCGAUCGAAACGUACCUUACUCAUAGGUACAUUGCUGGCGCGGCGGAUGCUGCUGCUCGCGCUGCGGAGGAUGCGGGAGGUGAGAACGCGAGGCGCCAUGGAAGCCGCCGACGCCGCGCGGGAGGCAGUGGGCGACGCGCUGUCGGGCGCCUCUGGAAAUGGUAAUGGCGACGGCAACUGCUCUCGAAGAAUUGGCGUUGAGGGGGUGAAGGGUUUUAAGGAUGGGUUUGUUGGCUUCCCCGGGUGCGGUCCUGGGCCAAUUGACUUGCUGUCACUGGACCUGGGCUGCUAUUGCUCUGAUGAAGGCCCUCAUAAGAAAGAAAGAAAGAGGAGCGGCGGCAUACCGUGCGGUUGGUUGGCCCCGUGGAACCAGUAGAUGUAUAGAAUCUAGAAAGCCAGAGGCGAUUGGAGCUCGUUGGAAGGAGGAGGCCAUGGUGUUGGAGGCGCUCCUCCAGUGCAGAUGGAAGGCGAGGCGGUGCGCGGGCCGCCGUCUUGGCAGCGACAGAUCGAAGGAACGCUGCUCCUGCCAUUGCCAUUGCCAUGCCCACCAACAAUGGAUUGGAUCUUGUUCGUCUUCUUUCCUGGCCUGGCGAUUAAUGUUAGAGAGAGAGAGAGAGAUCGAAUCGAAUCGACGAAGAAAGGCUGGCUAUGCUAGGGUUGUGUGUGAUUUGUGAUCUUCUCCUCUCUAUUCGGCUGGUUAUAUAUAUUCUACCGUAGAUUCCGCUUCGGCUCCGGCUCCGGCACGGAAUUCGGGAUCGGGACGGAGAUAUGGCAGAACACGGAAGGAACGCGCGCUGGAUCGGGACUCUCUAUGCCCGCCAGGCACAGGCGCACAGCCGAAUCGGAAUCGAGCGGAGAACCAAAGGAGAUCCUAGUGCUAGUCAAUCUCUAGCAGCAGGAGGAAUCCUACCUCGCCUGUCCGUGUAUGGUGGUUGCCCUAGGCUGGAAUCCCACUCCUUCCUUCAGGACGGGAUGUGCCAUUUUAGCUGGUCAUAGCAAUUAAUUAUGAUGCAUGGAAUCGGACAUUGUUGUAUGAAAUGAAGUGAAACCAUCUACUCCUCGAUGCCGGUCUGUGUGUGUCUUAUAAUCUCUUUAUAAACAUUUGAACACGAACAACAUUUGAAUGCCAUGAUCGAUCAUGUAUAACCGGAAAGUGGAAAAACAGUAGUGGGCUAGGCCCCACUUUGAUGAGCUUUCCCCUUUCCUUCUUCCUCGUUUGUGAUCGUUGUUAUUAGGCCCAUUCUGCAUUGGGAUCUGCAUCACCUGUAUGCGCACUCUUUUAUCCAUUCCCUAUCCUUUUUUUCCUCCAGAUUCUUUCGCUCAAAUCAUUCUUGUACAUGCUGCUUGACGUGUUGCCUUUUUAUGUCUCUGUCAUCCAUCUUCUUAUCUCAUAUCUAGCUACAUCCAUUUUUCCACUUUCUGUUGAGUAGUUACUACUCUUUGUUGAAUGAUGACGCUAGCUAGGCCACUAGUCAAUCUGUGUGUCCUGAUGUUUCCUAGCGUAGUAGUAGUAAUCUACUAGUAUUAGGCCUGGUUGAGGAUCUUGAGCCUUUUGUCAGUCUUGGACCUACCUUCUCAUUUUUGUUUGAUCAAUGCAUAUAUAGGUCAGCGACCAGCCCCCUGAGGCACGGAUCAUCUGGUUUUAUUCCAUAAUGUGUGCCAUCAUGAUCUUUCAGUCACUGUUAAUAUCAGUAGAUGCUGUCCAGAGUCAUGUAUUCAGAAGUGGAUAGGAAGGUUGGAACUCUUCUAGCGUCUUCAACUCUGAACAUAAAUAGUAGCUGCAUCACCAAGGUCACGGAAUUCCACUUUUUCCGCAUUUUACAAUAUGCGUGGAGGCAAGAAUCAUCAACACCAAGAUCUGAAGAAUAUUCAUAGGUCUAUCUUGAGGAGCUGGUGGGGAAUAAUAGACCUAAAAAAUGACUCAUAUGAAAAUCUGGCAGUUUUUUUCCCCGAACAAAAAUCUGUCAACUCAAGUUUGAAACUUUGACUUGCUGCGGAUGGAUGAGUCUUGAGUCAUAGGAUGGAUGCUGUUCUUUAUUUCUCCUCUGCCUUAUGCAUAUGUACCAGUGCAGCUAGAUAUGUCGCAUGGUCAUUUGUCAUUUUACUAGCAGCUGCAUGCACUACUGCUAUGUCCUUUACUACCUACUAACCUCUGUAUCAUGCAUGCAAGCUAUAAUCUUGCGAGUAAUUGAACUCCGCAGGUGAUCUCCAUUCUGAUGCAUGUAAGUUCAGACUAUAGUAGUACAUACAGCAUACUAGGAGACUAGGAGUAACUUGAGGAGUGAAAGUACCAUCUCUUGAUUACGGCAUAGAUUGUUUGUGUGACUGACUUUAACCCUCCCGGAAGAAAGGCAGCAUUAACAUAUCAAGUUGACAUUGCAUCCAAACGACUCCUAAAAAUUAAGAAGGUGAUGCAGGUCUUCAAAUUAAAGUCAACCUUUUUCAGACAGUUGGUGGCAGGCUGCAUCGAUCUGUACGCCGCCGGUGAAUGAAUGAAAGGAUGCAAAUGCAAGGCAAAGUUCAUCAGCAGGGGCACGGGGCAGGUCCAGAAGCAGGACACGCGGACUCUGACUGACGCGUAUGUGUGCGCGCGCCCUGCUCUUGCCCUCAAGCCACUGCAGGUCCAUCGCAUCGCGCUUUCCUUUGUUCCUAUCCUAUCUGCUCCUCCACUCCUUGCAGUGAGCAAAUAUAAUGGUGCACGAAACAGAAAGAAAAAGACAUUUAUUUCAUCCUUUAAUUUUCUUUUCGAGAAAGUCACAUUAUGCAACUAUAUAUGAAUUCCACCACCCAACUUAUUUUGCUGCAUUGCGUAUCUAAAAUCAUGGUGUGAUUUUAGUAUUCAGGUUAAGGCAACCAUAGAGUAUGAGGUUUCUAGUUUCUACUCCUGCUAGUAUGCUUUACACAUGGUCUUUGCUGACAUAUUUCUUUUCUUCUUCUUCUUUACAGUACUCCUCUACUUGAUUGCGAGAUUAAGUAAUUUCUUUCUUUCUCUUAUAGUUGUUGGUGACUAUGUAGUAGAAUGUGUGGAGCAAGUCCGUUUUGGCUCUCCACCACUACUCCCAAAUCUUCUUCUCUUCUUAUGGAGCCAGCCAGGAGUCUCCAUUAUUCAACGGCGGGCCCACAAGAAAGAACCAAAAGGCUAAGGCACCCUUCCUUCCCUGUUCCACCACCCCUAACCUCUCGACCAGACCUGCCAGCCAUUUCUCAACGGCCAGUCCAUAAACACACACGCACCAGCUAUCACUGGAUGCAGCGGCAGAUUAACGAAAGGCCAGGAAGAACAGGAGUAGAACCUCCAUCGAGGGACCACUGCAUUCAUCUCCUGAUGCCGUCUCCUGCAGACACAGUAUCCAACUCGAUUCUGCUCUAUCGUCUUUAGUGGCCAUUGAAGACCACCACACUACACUAGCGCUGAUAUCUGUGCAUGGUUUGCAUUCAAUGCUGUGGAUGAGGUUCUUGCUUCAUCUUCUUCCUCUGCGGCCGCCUCGCCUAUUUGGUUAUCUCUAGUGGCAGCAAAGCUUAUAUAGGCGGCAGUCAGUCAUCGCCGUGUUGCAUUGGGUGCUUCUUGGAGGUGACAGCAGAACAGAACUGUUCGUUCUUGGGCUUGGAGAGGGAGGAAGGAUGGUGACCACCAAUCUUGAGGCCUUCCUGGAGGCUGCCACUCCACAGUUGCCAUGGCGGUCGGCUCCCAUGGUGAGACCUCACUCUGCAAAUGUUGGCAUCAACCUUGUAUUUGUAGUCCAUGAUUCAGUAAGUUGUAAAUGCCUUAGUGUAGUCUGAUAUUUUUUUUUAUAAAAAAAAGGUGAAGUCUGAAUUUUCUUGCAAUCAGUACUACUAUCUGACUGAAGGCUGGUCUACCUCCUGAUUCAGCAAAAAUUGGACAGCAAUAGGUAGGAACAGAAUAGAACAUUUUAUUCCUGUAGCAUGAUUGUGACAUUCGCACUUAAUGAUAUGAUACUCUGUAGCGAUUGAUAGUACUAGCAUUCUACUCUUGUCAAAAGUUUUCUGCUGUUACCUGCACCAGGCCCUGCUCUGAGCAAUGCCAAUAAUUCUUUGGUUUUCCUUCUGCUCUUACAAGGAAUGUUUCCAAGGACCAAACGAUGUUUGGCAACUGGACAAGAAAGAUGUGGUGGACUACUUCACCCUUGAGGAUCUAUGGGAGCAUUAUUCUGAGAGCAGCGCAUACGGGCUCAGUGUUCCCGUCCGUCUCGAACAUGGCAAGUUCAUCACCCAGCAUUUUGUUCCCUACUUAUCGGCUAUUCAGAUAUACACCAGCAAGACAUUUGCUGUUCCCAGGUAUGUGCCUAACUACUUACUAGUUUUGAUUAGUUGCAAACAAGAUUGUUCCCUGCUGGGAAACUGACCAUUUUCGCUGUCCCUUGAAUUAAUGAAACCACACAGAAGCAUGGGAAGUGAUGAGACUGAUUCUUGGAGUGAUGAUAGCACUGCUGAGAAGCUUUGUAGGUCUUGGGAUGCUGCAUCAGAUGAUUCAUGCCCCCACCAAGACUUGGAUUCUGUUCCUGCAAAGCAAGGUGGAUACUUGAAUUUCCAGUACAGUGAAUGGGAUCCACCCUAUGAGAGGAUUCCGCUCGCCGACAAGGUAUUUUUCCUAGCAUAAUGUUGGGAUGUUAAAUUGCUUCAGCUUUGGAGUUGGGUAGCCAAUAUUAGCAGCACACAACUCUAGUAAAAUAUUUAUUUGCAUUGAAAGGUAAAUUUGAACUGUUGUGUUGCUGGUAACCAGGUGGCAGAGCUGGCUCAAGAUUACCCCUACUUGACGUCGCUCAGGAGUGCAGAAUUGUCACCUUGCAGCUGGCUAUCCGUAGCAUGGUACUUGGUUUUACACCAAAUUUCACUUCUUUGUAUUAGCCAUGUUUUUUUUACCUCUUUAAGGCAUUACACUGCACUUGUAGUUAGUUGUAGGAUAAAAAAGACAGGAUGUAAUUGCCUUUGAUUAUGGCUAAACAGUAUCCUCUUUGACGAAACAAGAGAAUCCAUUACCUCAAAAAAA
RNAcentral lists this long non-coding RNA (18203 nucleotides) under Setaria viridis. RNAcentral describes it as "long non-coding RNA (SVIR_LNC001157)". Lineage: Eukaryota; Viridiplantae; Streptophyta; Magnoliopsida; Poales; Poaceae. The record is from RNAcentral.